Molecule: ribosomal RNA, 509 nt
Filed under: Molanna angustata
Lineage: Eukaryota; Metazoa; Arthropoda; Insecta; Trichoptera; Molannidae
Also listed under: 1 other name
Description: SSU rRNA
Rfam family: Eukaryotic small subunit ribosomal RNA
Source: RNAcentral
AAGCUCGUAGUUGAAAUUGUGUCCUGCGGUGUCGGUCUACCGAUUGCGGUACGACGGGCACGUCUGCGGGGCUUCUCGCCGGUGCGUCCACCGCCGGCGUGUGUCGGUCGGCCUCACGGUCGGCCGCGCACCGAGGCGGACCGUCGCGGCUGUUUACUUUGAACAAAUUAGAGUGCUCAAAGCGGGCUAACACUCGCCUGAAUAUUGUACGCAUGGAAUAAUAGAAUAGGACCUCGGUUCUGUUUUGUUGGCUUUCUGAUACCAGAGGUAAUGAUUAAUAGGGACAACUGGGGGCAUUCGUAUUGCGACGUUAGAGGUGAAAUUCUUGGAUCGUCGCAAGACGGACUAAAGCGAAAGCAUUUGCCAAAGGUGUUUUCAUUAAUCAAGAACGAAAGUUAGAGGUUCGAAGGCGAUUAGAUACCGCUGUAGUUCUAACCAUAAAUGAUGCCAGCCAGCGAUCCGCCGAAGUUUCAUAAUUUUAACCCGGUGGGCAGCUCCCGGGAAACCAA